CGGUAAUUCCAGCUCCAAUAGCGUAUAUUAAAGUUGCUGCAGUUAAAAAGCUCGUAGUUGGAUCUCGGUAUCACUGGGGCCUGCCGAUACGAACCUUGCACUGGCUUUGCUUCGGCUUAUGCUAGUCUUGGUGAGUUUUGGUAAGGCAUCUGGUGUCACCUUUCAGCCAUGUCUGUGGUGAAAUACCCGCAGGUGUAGGCGAGUGUCAGGCGGUGCUUUGCAACAGUGAGGCCCGUCGGCUCGUUUGCAUGCCUUUGGAUGCCCUUCAAAAGGUGUCUGUGGGCGGAUGGCACGUUUACUUUGAACAAAUUUGAGUGCUCAAACCAGGCCGAUGUUGCCUGAAAAGUUUUGCAUGGAAUAAUGGAAUAGGACUUCGGUUCUAUUUCGUUGGUUUUCGGAUCSGAAGUAAUGAUCAAAAGAGACAGGCGGNGACNUUUGUAUGGCUGCGCUAGAGGUGAAAUUCAUGGACCGUAKCCAGACAAACUAAAGCGAAAGCAUUCGUCAAGCAUGUUUUCAUUGGCCAUGAGCCAAAGU
This 534-nucleotide ribosomal RNA is filed under the name Rhodobothrium sp. RNAcentral describes it as "bacterial SSU rRNA". It matches the Rfam family "Eukaryotic small subunit ribosomal RNA", at positions 579 to 1001 of the family's 1831-position model. Lineage: Eukaryota; Metazoa; Platyhelminthes; Cestoda; Rhinebothriidea; Rhinebothriidae. The record is from RNAcentral.